CCUGGGCGCAGUGGUGCAUGCCUGUAGUCCCAGCUACUCAGGAGGCUGAGGUGGGAGGAUCGCUUGAGCCCAGGAGUUCUGGGCUGUAGUGCGCUAUGCCAAUCAUGUGUCCACAUUAAGUUCAGCAUCAAUAUGGUGACCUCCCCGGAGCGGGGGACCACCAGGUUGCCUAAGGAGGGGUGAACCGGCCCAAGUCAGAAAUGGGGCAGGUCAAAACUCUGGUGCUGAUCAGUAGUGGGAUUGCACCUGUGAAUAGCCACUGCACUCCAGCCUGGGCAACAUAGCAAGACACCGUCUCA
Molecule: signal recognition particle RNA, 299 nt
Filed under: Cebus imitator (Panamanian white-faced capuchin)
Lineage: Eukaryota; Metazoa; Chordata; Mammalia; Primates; Cebidae
Description: Metazoan signal recognition particle RNA (ENSCCAG00000008022.1)
Rfam family: Metazoan signal recognition particle RNA
About the family: The signal recognition particle (SRP) is a universally conserved ribonucleoprotein.
Source: RNAcentral